This 154-nucleotide ribosomal RNA is filed under the name uncultured Enterobacter sp. RNAcentral's name for it is "partial 16S ribosomal RNA". It matches the Rfam family "Bacterial small subunit ribosomal RNA", at positions 339 to 486 of the family's 1533-position model. Lineage: Bacteria; Pseudomonadati; Pseudomonadota; Gammaproteobacteria; Enterobacterales; Enterobacteriaceae. The record is from RNAcentral.
UACCGGGAGGCAGCAGUGGGGAAUAUUGCACAAUGGGCGCAAGCCUGAUGCAGCCAUGCCGCGUGUAUGAAGAAGGCCUUCGGGUUGUAAAGUACUUUCAGCGGGGAGGAAGGCGUUGAGGUUAAUAACCUCAGCGGUUGACGUACCCGCAGAA